GUGGAGCCAAAAGUACUUUUGAAGAAAAAUAGGUUAAUAGCUGAGAGGAUGGUGAAUGCAUGCUUUCAGCACACAAUGCCCCUUAUGUUGAAAGGGCUUGGCGCUUUAAGUUGCUCUGUCAGAACAGAGUUCUGGGCAACCAGUGAGAUCCUCCAUCAUUUUCCCUACAGCCGUCACUGGUGACGGCUGGGGAAAAUGAGAAGCUUAACAAAAAGGUAGCUCUGCCUUUAUGUCAAGCGGAGGAAAGAUAUGGAGACAAAUCCUACUUUGUCUCAUAGUAUCUUUUGACUGGGCUGGAAUUUCAGUGAAAU
Non-coding RNA from Pelobates cultripes (western spadefoot toad), 311 nucleotides. The record is from the annotation of a GenBank genome assembly. Lineage: Eukaryota; Metazoa; Chordata; Amphibia; Anura; Pelobatidae.